Molecule: non-coding RNA, 603 nt
Organism: Vicia faba (fava bean)
Lineage: Eukaryota; Viridiplantae; Streptophyta; Magnoliopsida; Fabales; Fabaceae
Source: the annotation of a GenBank genome assembly
UCAUGCCAACGAAAAGACUAAAAGAAAUAGGUAGAGGGAAUCUGAACCGGAACUGAUGGCUCCUCCGGUGACUUCGAGGGUGAAGACGAAGUUAUAGAGGAGACCCGAGAUAUUUUCAGAUUUAGAAAGAAUAAAACAAAUGAAAACACACUCAAAGCAACAAACGGUUUUAAUAAAAUUGAACAACAGUCUUUGGCGAAGGUAAUCAAAAAAAUAAAGCACGAAUAAGCAUAGCAAAGCAAGUAUGAUUGGAGAGUUCAGAAAGAAUACCAACUCCAAAUAUUUUUGGAGGGCAGCAACAAGGCUUUCCUCUGUUUGGAACAUGUUUUGGAGCAUGAAACAAGAUGGAAAGAGGCAAGGUAGUAGGUUGUAUUGGACUGGUUUUGGUUGUAUGUGGUAGCAAUGGCACGUUUGACAAUUUUGGACAGCAACAUAGUAAUAGGGAAGCAAGACUAUUUUUGACAGGUUUUUUGCCAUGUUGCAGCAUUGCAAUAGCAUAAUUUUGGACUGUAUUGGAUGUGGGGCUGCAUGAACUGGUUUUAUAAAAAAGAUAGAUGAAAUAAUGAAGUAAGGCAAGGCAAGGCAACUUUUAAGAUUGAGCAU